Molecule: ribosomal RNA, 274 nt
Filed under: uncultured bacterium
Lineage: Bacteria
Description: partial 16S ribosomal RNA
Rfam family: Bacterial small subunit ribosomal RNA
Source: RNAcentral
AUACGGAGGGUGCGAGCGUUAAUCGGAAUUACUGGGCGUAAAGGGUGCGUAGGCGGUUUGAUAAGUCGGAUGUGAAAGCCCCGGGCUUAACCUGGGAAUUGCAUUCGAUACUGUCAGGCUAGAGUAUGUCAGAGGUUGGCGGAAUUCCUGGUGUAGCGGUGAAAUGCGUAGAUAUCAGGAGGAACACCGGUGGUGAAGGCGGCUAACUAGGACAAUACUGACGCUGAGGCACGAAAGCGUGGGGAGCAAACAGGAUUAGAAACCCUAGUAGUCC